Molecule: ribosomal RNA, 497 nt
Filed under: uncultured bacterium
Lineage: Bacteria
Description: partial 16S ribosomal RNA
Rfam family: Bacterial small subunit ribosomal RNA
Source: RNAcentral
GAUGAACGCUGGCGGCGUGCUUAACACAUGCAAGUCGAGCGAAAGGACGCGAAGCUUUCCUCUCUGAUGUUAGAGGGGGGAGUGAGAGUAACACGCGGACAAACUAGCUAUGAAUCAGGGAUCACUUCGUGAAAUCGUAGCUCAUAUCGGAUAAUAUUUUAAACCGCAUGGUUCAAAAGUGAAAGUCGGUUUUGCCGUCUCUUAUAGACGGAUCCGCGCUGGAUUAGCUAGUUGGUAAGGUAAUGGCCUACCAAGGCAACGAUGCAUAGCCGACCUGAGAGGAUGAUCAGCCACACUGGAACUGAGGCACGGUCCAGACUCCUACGGGAGGCAGCAGUAGGGAAUCUUCCACAAUGGGCGAAAGCCUGAUCGAGCAACGCCGCGUGAGGGAUGAAGGCCUUCGGGUCGUAAAACUCUGUUAGUAGGAAAGAACAGAUGUGUAAGUAUCCCUGCAGAUCUUGACGGUACCUAAUGAGAAAGCAACGGCUAACUACGUG